AUUGAACGCUGGCGGCAUGCCUUACACAUGCAAGUCAAACGGCAGCAUGGAGAGCUUGCUCUCUGAUGGCGAGUGGCGAACGGGUGAGUAAAGCAUCGGAACGUACCGUGUAGUGGGGGAUAACGUAGCGAAAGUUACGCUAAUACCGCAUACGCACUGAGGUGGAAAGCAGGGGAUCGUAAGACCUUGCGCUAUACGAGCGGCCGAUGUCAGAUUAGCUGGUUGGUAGGGUAAAGGCCUACCAAGGCGACGAGCUGUAGCGGGUCUGAGAGGAUGAUCCGCCACACUGGGACUGAGACACGGCCCAGACUCCUACGGGAGGCAGCAGUGGGGAAUUUUGGACAAUGGGGGCAACCCUGAUCCAGCCAUGCCGCGUGAGUGAAGAAGGCCUUCGGGUUGUAAGCUCUUUCGGCCGGAAAGAAAUCGCACAGGCUAAUACCCUGUGUGAAUGACGGUACCGGCAUAAGAAGCACCGGCUAACUACGUGCCAGCCGCCGCCGUAA
Molecule: ribosomal RNA, 503 nt
Filed under: uncultured bacterium
Lineage: Bacteria
Description: partial 16S ribosomal RNA
Rfam family: Bacterial small subunit ribosomal RNA
Source: RNAcentral